AGCGAACGCUGGCGGCAGGCUUAACACAUGCAAGUCGAACGGGCAUCUUCGGAUGUCAGUGGCAGACGGGUGCGUAACACGUGGGAACGUACCCUUCGGUUCGGAAUAACUCAGGGAAACUUGAGCUAAUACCGGAUACGCCCUUUUGGGGAAAGGUUUACUGCCGAAGGAUCGGCCCGCGUCCGAUUAGCUUGUUGGUGGGGUAACGGCCUACCAAGGCGACGAUCAGUAGCUGGUCUGAGAGGAUGCUCAGCCACACUGGGACUGAGACACGGCCCAGACUCCUACGGGAGGCAGCAGUGGGGAAUAUUGGACAAUGGGCGCAAGCCUGAUCCAGCCAUGCCGCGUGAGUGAUGAAGGCCUUAGGGUUGUAAAGCUCUUUUGUCCGGGACGAUAAUGACGGUACCGGAAGAAUAAGCCCCGGCUAACUUCGUG
This 435-nucleotide ribosomal RNA is filed under the name uncultured bacterium. RNAcentral's name for it is "partial 16S ribosomal RNA". It matches the Rfam family "Bacterial small subunit ribosomal RNA", at positions 29 to 507 of the family's 1533-position model. The record is from RNAcentral.